AGUGAACGCUGGCGGUAGGCCUAACACAUGCAAGUCGAACGGCAGCACAGUAAGAGCUUGCUCUUACGGGUGGCGAGUGGCGGACGGGUGAGGAAUACAUCGGAAUCUACUUUUUCGUGGGGGAUAACGUAGGGAAACUUACGCUAAUACCGCAUACGACCUACGGGUGAAAGCAGGGGAUCUUCGGACCUUGCGCGAAUGAAUGAGCCGAUGUCGGAUUAGCUAGUUGGCGGGGUAAAGGCCCACCAAGGCGACGAUCCGUAGCUGGUCUGAGAGGAUGAUCAGCCACACUGGAGCUGGGACACGGUCCAGACUCCUACGGGAGGCAGCAGUGGGGAAUAUUGGACAAUGGGCGCAAGCCUGGUCCAGCCAUACCGCGUGGGUGAAGAAGGCCUUCGGGUUGUAAAGCCCUUUUGUUGGGAAAGAAAAGCAGCAGGUUAAUACCCCGCUGUUCUGACGGUACCCAAAGAAUAAGCACCGGCUAACUUCGUG
RNAcentral lists this ribosomal RNA (492 nucleotides) under uncultured bacterium. Its description in RNAcentral is "partial 16S ribosomal RNA". It matches the Rfam family "Bacterial small subunit ribosomal RNA", at positions 29 to 507 of the family's 1533-position model. The record is from RNAcentral.